AACGAACGCUGGCGGCAUGCCUAACACAUGCAAGUCGAACGAGCCCUUCGGGUCUAGUCGCCCACGAGUUCGUAACCCGUGGGAAUCUGCCCUUUGCUUCGGAAUAACAGUUAGAAAUGACUGCUAAUACCGGAUGAUGUCUAAAGACCAAAGAUUUAUCGGCAAAGGAUGAGCCCGCGUAGGAUUAGGUAGUUGGUGGGGUAAAGGCCUACCAAGCCGACGAUCCUUAGCUGGUCUGAGAGGAUGAUCAGCCACACUGAGACUGAGACGCGGCCCAGAAUCCUACGGGAGGCAGCAGUGGGGAAUAGUGGAACGUGGGCGAAAGGCUGAUGGAGUAAGGACGCGUGAGUGAUGAAGGCCGUAGAGUUGUAAAGCGCUUUUAACAGGGAUGAUAAUGACAGUACCUGGAGAGAAAGCUACGGCUAACUCCGUG
This 433-nucleotide ribosomal RNA is filed under the name uncultured bacterium. RNAcentral describes it as "partial 16S ribosomal RNA". It matches the Rfam family "Bacterial small subunit ribosomal RNA", at positions 29 to 507 of the family's 1533-position model. The record is from RNAcentral.